UAUGUACAUAGAUACAACAUGG
This 22-nucleotide non-coding RNA is filed under the name Mus musculus (house mouse). The record is from RNAcentral. Lineage: Eukaryota; Metazoa; Chordata; Mammalia; Rodentia; Muridae.